ACCAAAUUGAUUAAAAUGUAUUAAAAAAUAAAAGGGAGUGUAAGUGUUGAAAAGGGGAGUGGGGAAAUCAGCUCCCUUGAAUAAUGAAAGGCCUCUAAGUGGGCUUGUGUAAUUAUACAGUGGGGUUAAUGUUGCUGCACCAGUUGAGAAGAAGAGCAGAGUUGGAGCAACCUCAGUAACAACAGUUCAAGAGGCUCAAACUAUAAGUCCUGGAGUCAAUUUGAGGGUUCAACAGGCCAAAAAUGCUGCAGUGGCACAAGCACAACAAGAUGGUGCCACUGGAAACUUUAGGAUCUUUGAUUCACCCUUUGGGAAUUAUCUUGUUCCAGUUGUUCCAACUUCCAAGGAACUGUCUGACUAGUUUCAUAUCAAAUCAUAUGUCUUGAGUUCUAAAUUGCUGUACAUGCAGAAGUUUUGUUUGGAGAUGUAUGACUUGCAAGUAUUCAUUACCAAUUUUGCUUCUUCUGCUGCUGUCUCUGUGUGCUGCCUUGUUUUUCUGCUCCUUCUGCUGUGCAUUGUUUUGUUGCUGUUGUUGUUCCUGUGGAUAAGGCCGGUGGCGUCUGGCUUUUUCUAUUGUAGCUUGUUUCAGUCAACAAUGUAUUUCAGACUUGCAAAAGAGGAUAAAGCUUUUAUUGACUUGAUCAA
Prunus avium (sweet cherry) is the source of this 645-nucleotide non-coding RNA. The record is from RefSeq and is a predicted model, not a curated record. NCBI's taxonomy places the organism in Eukaryota, Viridiplantae, Streptophyta, Magnoliopsida, Rosales, Rosaceae.